ACAUAUCAUAGCGGAGGAAAAGAAACCAACAGGGAUUGCCUCAGUAACGGCGAGUGAAGCGGCAACAGCUCAAAUUUGAAAUCUGGCUCUUUCAGGGUCCGAGUUGUAAUUUGUAGAGGAUGUUUCGGGUGUGGCUCCGGUCUAAGUUCCUUGGAACAGGACGUCAUAGAGGGUGAGAAUCCCGUAUGUGACUGGUAGCCUAUGCCCAUGUGAAACUCCUUCGACGAGUCGAGUUGUUUGGGAAUGCAGCUCAAAAUGGGUGGUAAAUUUCAUCUAAAGCUAAAUAUUGGCCAGAGACCGAUAGCGCACAAGUAGAGUGAUCGAAAGAUGAAAAGCACUUUGGAAAGAGAGUUAAACAGUACGUGAAAUUGUUGAAAGGGAAGCGCUUGCAACCAGACUUGCAUGUAGCUGAUCAACCGGUGUUCUCACCGGUGCACUCAGUUGCGUUCAGGCCAGCAUCGGUUUCGACGGUUGGAUAAAGGCCUUGGGAAUGUAGCUCCUUUCGGGGAGUGUUAUAGCCCAGGGUGCAAUGCAGCCUGUCGGGACCGAGGACCGCGCUUCGGCUAGGAUGCUGGCGUAAUGGUUGUAAGCGACCCGUCUUGAAACACGGACCAAGGAGUCUAACAUCUAUGCGAGUGUUUGGGUGUCAAACCCAUACGCGUAAUGAAAGUGAACGGAGGUGAGAACCCUUAAGGGUGCAUCAUCGACCGAUCCUGAUGUCUUCGGAUGGAUUUGAGUAAGAGCAUAGCUGUUGGGACCCGAAAGAUGGUGAACUAUGCCUGAAUAGGGUGAAGC
Molecule: ribosomal RNA, 795 nt
Filed under: Phacidium lacerum
Lineage: Eukaryota; Fungi; Ascomycota; Leotiomycetes; Phacidiales; Phacidiaceae
Description: LSU rRNA
Rfam family: Eukaryotic large subunit ribosomal RNA
Source: RNAcentral